Ictidomys tridecemlineatus (thirteen-lined ground squirrel) is the source of this 57-nucleotide non-coding RNA. The record is from Rfam. NCBI's taxonomy places the organism in Eukaryota, Metazoa, Chordata, Mammalia, Rodentia, Sciuridae.
UAGCUCAGUGGGAGAGCACUUGCCUAGUGUGCAUGAGGCCCUGGGUUCAACCCCCAG